AGGGUGUAAACGCUGCAGACUUGGUGUUGGGAACCCUUCGGGGGUGCUCAGUGCCGGAGAGAAGUUGUUAAGUCUGCUACUUGGGGAGUACGUCCGCAAGGAUGAAACUUAAAGGAAUUGGCGGGGGAGCACCGCAACGGGAGGAGCGUGCGGUUUAAUUGGAUUCAACGCCGAAAAACUCACCGGAUAGGACAGCAGAAUGAUUGCCGGGCUGAAGACCCUGCAUGACUAGCUGAGAGGUGGUGCAUGGCGUCCAGUGACU
This 262-nucleotide ribosomal RNA is filed under the name uncultured archaeon. RNAcentral's name for it is "partial 16S ribosomal RNA". It matches the Rfam family "Archaeal small subunit ribosomal RNA", at positions 748 to 1009 of the family's 1478-position model. The record is from RNAcentral.